RNAcentral lists this transfer RNA (87 nucleotides) under Candidatus Omnitrophota bacterium. RNAcentral's name for it is "Candidatus Omnitrophica bacterium tRNA-Ser". It matches the Rfam family "tRNA". From Rfam's summary of the family: Transfer RNA (tRNA) molecules are approximately 80 nucleotides in length. Their secondary structure includes four short double-helical elements and three loops (D, anti-codon, and T loops). Lineage: Bacteria; Pseudomonadati; Candidatus Omnitrophota. The record is from RNAcentral.
GGAGAGAUGCCGGAGUGGUCGAACGGGCACGCCUGGAAAGCGUGUAGACCUGCAAGGGUCUCCAGGGUUCGAAUCCCUGUCUCUCCG